GGAUGUGAGGGCGAUCUGGCUGCGACAUCUGUCACCCCAUUGAUCGCCAGGGUUGAUUCGGCUGAUCUGGCUGGCUAGGCGGGUGUCCCCUUCCUCCCUCACCGCUCCAUGUGCGUCCCUCCCGAAGCUGCGCGCUCGGUGGAAGAGGACGACCAUCCCAGAUAGAAGGAGUGUACCGAUCUUCGGUCAAGGGUAUACGAUAGCUGCGCUCCCCUGCUAGAACCUCCAAACAAGCUCAAGGUCCCAUCCAUUCAGUCCUUAUCGCGCUGACUGCAUUCUCUCCCACCCAGUCACUCCUUAAGGAAUUUCUUU
Molecule: small nuclear RNA, 312 nt
Filed under: Notechis scutatus (mainland tiger snake)
Lineage: Eukaryota; Metazoa; Chordata; Lepidosauria; Squamata; Elapidae
Description: 7SK RNA (ENSNSUG00000005556.1)
Rfam family: 7SK RNA
About the family: 7SK was discovered as an abundant small nuclear RNA in the mid-70s but a possible function has only recently been suggested. Two independent studies have found that 7SK RNA binds the CDK9/cyclin T complex (known as elongation factor P-TEFb).
Source: Rfam by way of RNAcentral